GGGGAAUCUUAGACAAUGGGGGAAACCCUGAUCUAGCCAUGCCGCGUGAUCGAUGAAGGCCUUAGGGUUGUAAAGAUCUUUCAGAUGGGAAGAUAAUGACGGUACCAUCAGAAGAAGCCCCGGCUAACUCCGUGCCAGCAGCCGCGGUAAUACGGAGGGGGCUAGCGUUAUUCGGAAUUACUGGGCGUAAAGCGCACGUAGGCGGAUCAGAAAGUCAGAGGUGAAAGCCCGGGGCUCAACCCCGGAACGGCCUUUGAAACUCCUGAUCUUGAGGUCGAGAGAGGUGAGUGGAAUUCCGAGUGUAGAGGUGAAAUUCGUAGAUAUUCGGAGGAACACCAGUGGCGAAGGCGGCUCACUGGCUCGAUACUGACGCUGAGGUGCGAAAGCGUGGGGAGCAAAC
This 400-nucleotide ribosomal RNA is filed under the name uncultured bacterium. RNAcentral describes it as "bacterial SSU rRNA". It matches the Rfam family "Bacterial small subunit ribosomal RNA", at positions 356 to 773 of the family's 1533-position model. The record is from RNAcentral.